CAGCCGCCGCGGUAAUACGUAGGUGGCAAGCGUUGUCCGGAAUUAUUGGGCGUAAAGCGCGCGCAGGCGGUCCCUUAAGUCUGAUGUGAAAGCCCACGGCUCAACCGUGGAGGGUCAUUGGAAACUGGGGGACUUGAGUGCAGAAGAGGAAAGUGGAAUUCCACGUGUAGCGGUGAAAUGCGUAGAGAUGUGGAGGAACACCAGUGGCGAAGGCGACUUUCUGGUCUGUAACUGACGCUGAGGCGCGAAAGCGUGGGGAGCAAACAGGAUUAGAUACCCGGGUAGUCCACGCCGUAAACGAUGAGUGCUAAGUGUUAGGGGGUUUCCGCCCCUUAGUGCUGCAGCUAACGCAUUAAGCACUCCGCCUGGGGAGUACGGCCGCAAGGCUGAAACUUAAAGGAAUUGGCGGG
RNAcentral lists this ribosomal RNA (410 nucleotides) under uncultured microorganism. RNAcentral's name for it is "bacterial SSU rRNA". It matches the Rfam family "Bacterial small subunit ribosomal RNA", at positions 509 to 917 of the family's 1533-position model. The record is from RNAcentral.